AUUAUUACUUUAUAUUUGGUGGCGGUUCCUUUAAUUCUUUCUGGAAUUCUUUCAAUCCCUGGAGGAGUACCACAGGAGGGGCCUGGCAGUGUUUCACCCCCCAUGUCACAUCUCUAGGGCCCUACUUUCCAACUUGAGAAAGCUUAAGCAGCCUGCUCAAGGUCAGCCAGCUAGUUGGCAGCAAAGCUCACACUGGAAUCCAGCUUUUACUCCAGCAGCCUCUCCUCUGGCAACCUUGUUAACCUAGUCUCCAAGGGCUGGGCUGUGGGUUCCUUUGAUUCUUUCCGGACCGCCUGAGGGUGCAUGGAUAUAGUUAACAUCGCGUGUGUCAGUAUCUUAUCUCCUGUCACGUGUAGAGGAACCCAGUUUCCCAACUUUCAAAGAGGUUAAACGACUUGCCCAAGAUCAUCCAUCUGGUCUGUACCAAAGCCCCUACAGGGUUCUGACUCAAGAGCCACACUCACUCAACUCUGCGCUGCUCUCGAAUUCCUUUUAGUUUUUCCAGAACCGAUGAAGCUGCUGCAGCUAUACUUCACCCUGAGUUUAAUCUGUAAGGACAACAGUUCCCAAGGGAAAGUUACAGAGCCGGCGAGACGCUCCAGCAACUACAGGUCAGAUCUGAGGUUCAGCGGAUCCCUAAGUUUGCCAGGCCAAGGUUUCCAGGUGCUGAGAUCGAAUGUGUAUGAGGGCCAGUUUUCGGAGAGGAGAGCUGCUCACCGGCUGCUGGCUGGCUCCACCCAGUUCACUUAACACCUUUGACUUGUCUGCACUGCAGUAUGGUGCUGGGCCCUGCUACAGUGGUCCCUUUAAAAAUCAUCAGUACAAUAUUGUGAGAGAGCGUCAGCUGUAUUUAAAAUUAUUUCCCACAUUACAUAAGAAGUAACCCUGGUCUUACGUUGUUGAAAACUGCACAGUGUAGAGCUUUGAGAAGUUCCCCCAUAGUCCCCCGCACUCCUGUGCUCCUGUGAACUGUCUUCUUUCAGGUUUUUUUCCCCCUUUGUAUGCACUUUGUUAUAUUUCCAUAUUCCAAUUGAGGAAACUCAGGCUGAGAAAAGGCAAAAAAUAAACUACUCCUGAAGACCCUGUA
Molecule: long non-coding RNA, 1087 nt
Organism: Capra hircus (goat)
Lineage: Eukaryota; Metazoa; Chordata; Mammalia; Artiodactyla; Bovidae
Exons: 2
Source: RefSeq, a predicted model, not a curated record